GGCUGGUCAUCACAUCGACAAACUUGGACUGCUGCUCGCAAAUAAUACGGGUAAUGCGCAGACGAUCCUCAUGAGUAAGCAAAUUCAGGUAAUUAUGCGCUAAUUCAUUGCUGAGAAUGUUCGUCCCGUCAUUGAUGCGCAAAAUACAGAUCCCUACCGGAGCAGAGGCCACGAUCUUGCGGUUGAAUUGUUCAUUUUCUUCUAACUGGAACGCAUUGACUUCGGCAGGCAGCAGCAUUUUGCGUUCGAAGAACCAGCUCAGUAAAAACAGUAGAAUGGCCGAUAGCGUAUUAAGCACCGCCAUAUUAAUAAUCAGCGGACCGAUAUGAGACAAUAAUACCUUUAACGGCAGAGAAUAAAUGAUGCUGAAAUUCGUCGGCGGCAGGCUCUUCUUCAGAAUAAUUUCAUCAUAACCAUUCACAUAACCAAAAUAGUUAUGCUCGACGGGAUAAGAGCCGGUAGAUGAUAAGUAAUGACCGGACUCUUCAG
RNAcentral lists this non-coding RNA (489 nucleotides) under Brenneria goodwinii. RNAcentral's name for it is "Soft rot Enterobacteriaceae Rev 24 asRNA". It matches the Rfam family "Soft rot Enterobacteriaceae Rev 24 asRNA". Rfam says of the family: From bacteria cultured under starvation conditions. Antisense to rcsC. The record is from Rfam by way of RNAcentral. Lineage: Bacteria; Pseudomonadati; Pseudomonadota; Gammaproteobacteria; Enterobacterales; Pectobacteriaceae.